This 74-nucleotide non-coding RNA is filed under the name unclassified sequences. RNAcentral's name for it is "RAGATH-18 RNA". It matches the Rfam family "RAGATH-18 RNA". From Rfam's summary of the family: Actinobacteria, Firmicutes, Fusobacteria, Thermotogae (1 example). Nearby to self-cleaving ribozyme genes The record is from Rfam by way of RNAcentral.
CCUAUUGAGUGUCAUAUCAAAUGAUAGUAGAAGUGAGUUUUCUCACUUUGAGGUCAGACACGAUGAUGUAGGAA